UUAUACCUGUGCAACCCAAGUCAAGCGGUUAGGUGAAAAAGGUGGUUAGGUAUAAAAUUUAUAAGGUGAAUAAUUAAUGAAUUUUGGUUAAUCCAACACAAAUAGAGUAGGGGUGUAAUCCUAUUAAUUCUGUGGAAGAGGUAAGGGGAUGCCAUUAAAUUGACUCCACGGAACCGGAAGAAUAAAGACAUGGAUUAGGUACCCAUUUAUUCCCGAUGAAAACUUUGCUAAAACUUAAUAAAUGGCUACUAGGGGACUACGAGCGUGUGCUUAAAACUCAAAGAACUUGGCGGCUUGUUAACUACCUAGGGGAAUAUGCGCCUUAAUCCGAUGGUACUCGUCUCAUCUUACUGGGCCUUGAAAAAGAGCAGUCGGUGUAUUGCCGUUGUCAGCUUGUUGUUAGAGCAGGGAGAAACAGGCUAAAUGGGGAUAAAUUGAAACAAAGUUUUCUGAAAACCAUGAAUUCAGGUCGAAAUACUGCCAAUGGCCCUAGGGAGCGGGUGUUACAACUAUAAUUUUUAAAAACGGAUCUUCAUUUAGUGAAAGAGCUUGGAGUGAAGGUGAACUUAGGAGUAAGGAGAAAUUAAUAUGUUUUCCUGAACAUGAAUCUAACU
Molecule: ribosomal RNA, 614 nt
Filed under: Cryptopecten vesiculosus
Lineage: Eukaryota; Metazoa; Mollusca; Bivalvia; Pectinida; Pectinidae
Description: partial 12S ribosomal RNA
Rfam family: Bacterial small subunit ribosomal RNA
Source: RNAcentral